RNAcentral lists this long non-coding RNA (254 nucleotides) under Setaria italica (foxtail millet). Its description in RNAcentral is "long non-coding RNA (SITA_LNC002768)". Lineage: Eukaryota; Viridiplantae; Streptophyta; Magnoliopsida; Poales; Poaceae. The record is from RNAcentral.
CGUCAUCGAUCCCAUCGGCGAUCGAGCUGGUACAUAAACAACACGAGCUGGCGAGGCUCCGGGCUCGCAUCGGGAUCUGGGACACUUACUCAGAGUUCCAAUCGCGCGCCAUGGAUCGCAAGCUCUUCGCUUGGCUGCUCGUGGUCGUCUUCCUCGUGUGUUCAUCGGCUGCCCCAGCAGUCUGCUCCUCCCGCCCCCUCGGUAUAUCAUCGAUCUCAACGACGAUGACGACUGGCGUGGUGGUUUUUCUUUUG